Molecule: non-coding RNA, 416 nt
Organism: Pelobates cultripes (western spadefoot toad)
Lineage: Eukaryota; Metazoa; Chordata; Amphibia; Anura; Pelobatidae
Source: the annotation of a GenBank genome assembly
UAUGUGUCACUCACACGUUUAUGUCUAAUUUUCAGCAAGCUUUUGUCACAAUGUAUUGUUAUAUAUGCCAUUGUAGUGGAAGCAGGAGGACUGAUCGCAGACUUGGGAACCAGACAUAUUCCACCCAGUAUCCGUUACUUCUACUAAGGGAAAAUAUAGUGGACAGCCAGCCUUUCGUUCCAGCACUACCCGACAAGUGGUGCUAAGGAUCUUCUAGAGAUACAGCUUCAGCAGACGUUCCUUUAAAGUGAGCAUCAGUACCGUACAGCUUUAUUGAGACUCCCACAGGGUUUUCAUGCAUUCCUUUGUUUGUACAGUGGACACAAGUCAACCAACCACAGUGAGGAUAGUGAAGGCAUCCAAUCACACUAAGAAGGUUAAUUAAAUUACAGUACCAUGUGAACAAGGAAGGUGGG